UCCUCUUCCUGGACAUUGAUCAUGUAAAGGAUUACAGAGGUUAAAGUUCAACGUGACAAUGUUAGUAAAUGAACCACAUGUUGUGUACCGUUUCAGAUUUUAUUUCAACAGUCAACAUACAUCUACUGCUUAUCAGCUUCAUCCAAAUGUCCACAUUGUCUGUUGUAAAACUAGCUAUAUUCUGACACAGCAACAACAACCCCAUAACAGACCUACUAUCUCUCACACACGUCCACACACUGUGGGAGCUGAACCUGUCUCAGGUCUGGGUCAGGACCACUGGUCUCAGGUCAGGGAUGGGACCACUGGUCUCAGGUCAGGGUUCAGGUCAGGACCACUGUUCUCAGGUCAGGGAUGGGACCACAGGGUUCAGGUCAGGGAUGGGACCACUGACCUCAGGACAGGGUUCAGGUCAGGGAUGGGACCACUGACCUCAGGACAAGGUUCAGGUCAGGGAUGGGACCACUGGUCUCAGGACAGGGAAGGGACCACUGGUCUCCAGUCAGAACUUAUUCAAAGCCUUUACCACAGGUAUCAGUCAUUACAUCAUUCCUUUACCACAGGUAUCAGUCAUUACAUCAUUACAUCAUUCCUUUACCACAGGUUUCAGUCAUUACAUCAUUACAUCAUUCCUUUACCACAGGUUUCAAUCAUUCAGUUCAGUUAUCCGUUCAGUUAUCAACCACAGGUAUCAAUCAUUACAUCAUUCCUUAACCACAGGUAUCAGUCAUUACAUCAUUCCUUAACCACAGGUAUCAGUCAUUACAUCAUUCCUUAA
RNAcentral lists this long non-coding RNA (778 nucleotides) under Oncorhynchus kisutch (coho salmon). RNAcentral describes it as "lncRNA (ENSOKIG00005042329.1)". The record is from RNAcentral. Lineage: Eukaryota; Metazoa; Chordata; Actinopteri; Salmoniformes; Salmonidae.